This 254-nucleotide ribosomal RNA is filed under the name uncultured bacterium. RNAcentral describes it as "partial 16S ribosomal RNA". It matches the Rfam family "Bacterial small subunit ribosomal RNA", at positions 524 to 777 of the family's 1533-position model. The record is from RNAcentral.
UACGAAGGGGGCUAGCGUUGCUCGGAAUUACUGGGCGUAAAGCGCACGUAGGCGGCUUUUUAAGUCGGGGGUGAAAUCCUGGAGCUCAACUCCAGAACUGCCUUCGAUACUGGAAAGCUCGAGUCCGGGAGAGGUGAGUGGAACUGCGAGUGUAGAGGUGAAAUUCGUAGAUAUUCGCAAGAACACCAGUGGCGAAGGCGGCUCACUGGCCCGGUACUGACGCUGAGGUGCGAAAGCGUGGGGAGCAAACAGGG